ACGGAGGAUCCAAGCGUUAUCCGGAAUCAUUGGGUUUAAAGGGUCCGUAGGCGGUCUUAUAAGUCAGUGGUGAAAUCCCAUCGCUCAACGAUGGAACUGCCAUUGAUACUGUAAGACUUGAAUACUUAGGAAGUAACUAGAAUAUGUAGUGUAGCGGUGAAAUGCUUAGAUAUUACAUGGAAUACCAAUUGCGAAGGCAGGUUACUACUAAGUGAUUGACGCUGAUGGACGAAAGCGUGGGGAGCGAACAGG
Molecule: ribosomal RNA, 252 nt
Filed under: uncultured bacterium
Lineage: Bacteria
Description: partial 16S ribosomal RNA
Rfam family: Bacterial small subunit ribosomal RNA
Source: RNAcentral